AUUGAACGCUGGCGGCAGGCCUAACACAUGCAAGUCGAGCGGAUGAAGGGAGCUUGCUCCUGGAUUCAGCGGCGGACGGGUGAGUAAUGCCUAGGAAUCUGCCUGGUAGUGGGGGAUAACGUCCGGAAACGGGCGCUAAUACCGCAUACGUCCUGAGGGAGAAAGUGGGGGAUCUUCGGACCUCACGCUAUCAGAUGAGCCUAGGUCGGAUUAGCUAGUUGGUGGGGUAAAGGCCUACCAAGGCGACGAUCCGUAACUGGUCUGAGAGGGUGAUCAGUCACACUGGAACUGAGACACGGUCCAGACUCCUACGGGAGGCAGCAGUGGGGAAUAUUGGACAAUGGGCGAAAGCCUGACGCAGCCAUGCCGCGUGUGUGAAGAAGGUCUUCGGAUUGUAAAGCACUUUAAGUUGGGAGGAAGGGCAGUAAGUUAAUACCUUGCUGUUUUGACGUUACCAACAGAAUAAGCACCGGCUAACUUCGUG
Molecule: ribosomal RNA, 484 nt
Filed under: uncultured bacterium
Lineage: Bacteria
Description: partial 16S ribosomal RNA
Rfam family: Bacterial small subunit ribosomal RNA
Source: RNAcentral